RNAcentral lists this unclassified non-coding RNA (185 nucleotides) under Glomeraceae sp. RNAcentral describes it as "partial contains 5.8S ribosomal RNA and internal transcribed spacer 2". The stretch from base 1 to 71 matches the Rfam family "5.8S ribosomal RNA", at positions 84 to 154 of the family's 154-position model. Lineage: Eukaryota; Fungi; Glomeromycota; Glomeromycetes; Glomerales; Glomeraceae. The record is from RNAcentral.
GUGAAUCAUCGAAUUUUUGAACGCAAAUUGCACUCUCUGGUAUUCCGGAGAGUAUGCCUGUUUGAAGGUCAGUAUAAAUAAAAAUCGAGGUGUUGCUUAUGGUGACGUCAUCGGAAUUGGGUUACCUUUAUUCUUAAUAAGGUUUUAAAGUGCCUUAAAAUUGAUAAUACUUGGUGAUUCUCAAG